This is a non-coding RNA of Oscillibacter sp. KLE 1745, 114 nucleotides long. The record is from Rfam. NCBI's taxonomy places the organism in Bacteria, Bacillati, Bacillota, Clostridia, Eubacteriales, Oscillospiraceae.
AGUUUUCUUCGGAAACGAGAUAUUUCUCUACUGGCGGUAACAGUCCGCGAGCGAUCAGCUAAUCCGGUGGAAUUCCGGAGCCAACAGGUUCGGUCUGGAGGGGAGAAGAAGGCU